GCGCGUAUAGCUCAGCGGGAGAGCGCUUCCCUGACACGGAAGAGGUCACUGGUUCGAUCCCAGUUAUGCGCA
RNAcentral lists this transfer RNA (72 nucleotides) under Corynebacterium heidelbergense. It matches the Rfam family "tRNA". From Rfam's summary of the family: Transfer RNA (tRNA) molecules are approximately 80 nucleotides in length. The record is from Rfam by way of RNAcentral. Lineage: Bacteria; Bacillati; Actinomycetota; Actinomycetes; Mycobacteriales; Corynebacteriaceae.